UGGGGAAUAUUGCACAAUGGGCGCAAGCCUGAUGCAGCCAUGCCGCGUGUGUGAAGAAGGCCUUAGGGUUGUAAAGCACUUUCAGCGAGGGGGAAGGCAUCACACUUAAUACGUGUGGUGAUUGACGUUACUCGCAGAAGAAGCACCGGCUAACUCCGUGCCAGCAGCCGCGGUAAUACGGAGGGUGCAAGCGUUAAUCGGAAUUACUGGGCGUAAAGCGCACGCAGGCGGUUUGUUAAGUCAGAUGUGAAAUCCCCGCGCUUAACGUGGGAACUGCAUUUGAAACUGGCAAGCUAGAGUCUUGUAGAGGGGGGUAGAAUUCCAGGUGUAGCGGUGAAAUGCGUAGAGAUCUGGAGGAAUACCGGUGGCGAAGGCGGCCCCCUGGACAAAGACUGACGCUCAGGUGCGAAAGCGU
RNAcentral lists this ribosomal RNA (415 nucleotides) under uncultured bacterium. Its description in RNAcentral is "partial 16S ribosomal RNA". It matches the Rfam family "Bacterial small subunit ribosomal RNA", at positions 355 to 762 of the family's 1533-position model. The record is from RNAcentral.